Molecule: small nuclear RNA, 141 nt
Organism: Callithrix jacchus (white-tufted-ear marmoset)
Lineage: Eukaryota; Metazoa; Chordata; Mammalia; Primates; Cebidae
Gene: U4
Rfam family: U4 spliceosomal RNA
About the family: U4 small nuclear RNA (U4 snRNA) is a component of the major U2-dependent spliceosome. The structure of U4 snRNA from yeast and human has been reported. U4 snRNA presents a k-turn RNA motif in the 5p-SL related to recognition of Snu13 protein.
Source: Ensembl
AGCUUUGCGCAAUGGCAGUAUCGUAGCCAAUGAGGUUUAUCUGAGGCGAGAUUAUUGCUAAUUGAAAGCUUUUCCCAAUACCUCACUGUGACGACUUGCAAUACAGUCGGCACUGGUAAUUUUUGACUGUCUCUACAGAGA